Molecule: ribosomal RNA, 1478 nt
Filed under: uncultured Chloroflexota bacterium
Lineage: Bacteria; Bacillati; Chloroflexota
Description: uncultured Chloroflexi bacterium 16S ribosomal RNA
Rfam family: Bacterial small subunit ribosomal RNA
Source: RNAcentral
AGAGUUUGAUCCCCUUUCAGAACGAACGCUGGCGGGGUGCCUAACACAUGCAAGUCGAGCGAGAAACCUUUUUUCGGAAAGGGAGUCAAGCGGCGAACGGGUGAGUAACACGUGGGUAAUCUGCCCCUGAGUCUGGGAUAACCCGGGGAAACCCGGGCUAAUACCGGAUACGGCCUGAAGGACUUCGGUUCUUCAGGAGAAAGGUGGCCUCUGCUUGCAAGCUAUCACUCGGGGAGGGGCCCGCGGCCCAUUAGUUUGUUGGUGAGGGAACGGCUCACCAAGGCAAAGAUGGGUAGCUGGCCUGAGAGGAUGACCAGCCACACUGGAACUGACACACGGUCCAGACUCCUACGGGAGGCAGCAGUGGGGAAUUUUGGGCAAUGGGCGCAAGUCUGAGGCAGCAACGCCGCGUGGGUGAUGAAGGCCUUCGGGUUGUAAAGCCCUUUUCUGGGGGACGAGUAAGGACGGUACCCCAGGAAUAAGUCACGGCUAACUACGAGCCAGCAGCCGCGGUAAUACAUAGGUGGCGAGCGUUAUCCGGAUUUACUGGGCGUAAAGCGCGUGUAUGUGGUUCUGUAAGCCGGACGUGACAGCUCCUGUCUUAACUGGCAGAGGCCGCCCGAUACUGCCGGGACUUGAGGUCGGGAGAGGGACGUGGAAUUCCCGGUUGUAGAGGUGGAAUGGUUAGAUAUGGGGAGGAACACCAGUGGGGAAGGCGGCGUCCUGGCCCGCACCUGACAAUGAGAAACGAAAGAGUGGGGAGCGAACGGGAUUAGAUACUCCGGUAGUCCACGCCGUAACAGGUGGAUACUAGGUGUUGGUUGACUAUCGUCAUCAGUGCCGUAGUUAACGCGUUAAGUAUCCCGCUUGGGGAAUACGAACCGCAAAGGCUAAAACUCAAAGGAAUUGACGGGGGCCCGCACAAGCAGCGGAGCGUGUGGUUUAAUUCGAGGCAACACGAAGAACCUUACCUGGGCUUGACAUGUACGUAGUAGUGAAGCGAAAGCGGAACGAUCCUUCGGGAAGCGUACGCAGGUGCUGCAUGGCUGUCGUCAGCUCGUGCCGUGAGGUGUUCGGUUAAGUCCGGUAACGAGCGCAACCCUCACCGUUAGUUACAUGUGUCUAACGGGACUGCCGGUUUAAUGCCGGAGGAAGGUGGGGAUGACGUCAAGUCAGCAUGGCCCUUAUGUCCAGGGCUACACACACGCUACAAUGGCCGGUACAAUGGGUUGCCAAGCCGCGAGGCGGAGCUAAUCCUCCAAAGCCGGUCUCAGUUCGGAUUGCAGGCUGCAACUCGCCUGCAUGAAGUCGGAGUUGCUAGUAACCGCAGGUCAGCCAUACUGCGGUGAAUACGUUCCCGGGCGUUGUACACACCGCCCGUCACGUCAUGGGAGCUGGUAACACCUGAAGCCGGCGGGCUAUCCGCAAGGAGGCAGAGGUGGAAGGUGGGACUGGUAACUGGGAUGAAGUCGUAACAA